Molecule: long non-coding RNA, 2574 nt
Organism: Perognathus longimembris pacificus (Pacific pocket mouse)
Lineage: Eukaryota; Metazoa; Chordata; Mammalia; Rodentia; Heteromyidae
Exons: 4
Source: RefSeq, a predicted model, not a curated record
AUGAGAAUAUAAUGCCUUCAAAUAUUUUUAAAAUAUCUGUACAACUAAAGCAUCUCACUGCACUAAAGGAAGACAUGCCAACAGGGUUUAAGGAUGUUAUUUUAUCAUUUUGUUGUCAGUGCUGGAGAUGGAAACCAGGUCCUUGCUUGCUCAAGCUGUGCAAAUAUUCUACCCCCAAGCUACCUAUGCUGUCCAGCCUUACCUUUAGUGUUAUAUUUAGUACACCUCAAUGAACCUCACACUUUUCUCAGUUGUUCUCCACAGUAAUAACACCACACAUGUGCUGCAGAUCUCCCUGUGGCUCUAAGGUUAUAGUUACUGCUCUCUGCAGCAUUGUUACGAGUCAAAACUACCAGUCCAUGAAAUUAAAGAAAUUGGGUCAGAAACAAGUAUGCAGCAAAAUCAGUUUGUUUUCAAAAUCCUUUAAAAAAAUAUUACCAUUAAAUACAAGAAUACUUGAUUAAAUGUAGCAUUUCUAGUAAGCCUCACUUUAAUAUAACUAUCACUAAACUAAAAUUGUGUGCAAUUUUAGAAUUAAUCACCCUGAUUGUGGUUCAGCUAAAAAGAGUCUGAUCAGAACAAACUGACUUUGCCAUACAUUUGUUGAGUGUCAACAUUGUUUUCUCAAAAAAAAAAAAUCACUAAUUUUAUUUCAUGAGUCUAGAUUAUACUAUAAAGCUACAAAAAUACCCUUGAAUUUGAAAGCUUUACUGUAUCCAAUUAUCCCUCCUGAAGGACAACAGAUUACAAGAAAUUAGCUUGGUAUUUAUUGAUUUGUUUGUUUGUUUAAUUUUCUUGGCCCUGGGUUUGACCUCAGGGCCUUGCACUUGCCUAGCUUGCUUGCUUGGCACUCCACCACUUGAGAUAUGCCUCUAGCUCAGCAUUUAGUUGGCUAUUUUGAAGAAUCUUGUAGAGCCUCUAGACUGUCUUUGAACAGUGAUCCUCUUGAUCUCAGCCCUGUGAGUAGCUAGGGUUAAAGGCCUGAGUCACAUCUACAAGAAGAAAUGAGGUCUUUAAAUCAAUCACAGUAUCUAAUCUCCUGAAGUCAGAGGUGCUAGCCUUUUGCCACUACCCUCACCAGGUUUACUUCUUUUUUUAUUUUGUUCCUUGCAAAUAGGGGAAGGGGUUCACUAAGCUGAUUAUGUAUAACUAGCAUAAACUAACAGAACUGCAACAAAAACUCCAACCAUAUCUAGUCUUACUAACUUCAUCCAAGAGGAUAAAAAUCCCAUUUAGAUAGUUAUGGCUGUAAAAUUCAUGCUUAUUUGCAUAUAACUCCUGAGGACAUCACUGAGUUUCAGAAGGAUAAUUAUGAACUUAUUUUAGUUUCAAAAUAUUACAAGUUAACAAAUCAGUGCAAUAGCCAUGCAAUGUUGAAAAUGAUGGCGUUUAUGAAGAACAGUGUUUAACUCAAGAUACCACUAAAGAAAUCAAGCAACAAACACCUACAAUAGCCCAAUACUUUAUAAGCAAAAAUAGAAGAGAGAUACAGUAAUUCCCCGGAGAGAUACAGUAAUCCCUUACCCUCAGUUUUUGCUUUCUUAGCUUUUAUUAUGCAUGUUCAACCAAAAAUAGUAAUGGGAAAAUUCCAGAAGUGACCAGUUCUUGAAUUUUAAGUUGUGUGCCAUUAUGAGUAGUACAGUGAAAUUUCAAAUUACCCUACACCAUGUCACCCAGGAUGUGAAUCACCCCUCAUUGAGAAGAUCACACACCUCGGGAAAGCCACUGGGAAGCCAUCAGCGCUAUCAGAUUAACUGCUGAGAUAUCAUAUGUGUUCAAGAAACCCUUAUUUUACUUACUAAGGGCUCUGGAGGAGAAAAAUGAUGCUAGCAAUUCUGGCCUGCAAAAGAAAAGCCAGGAAGUGCUUCCUUCAAGUGAAAAGCUGAAUAUUCUUGACCUUGAGUCAAGAACAAAUCAUAUGCUGAGGAUGCCAUCGCACAACCAUGGGAAGAAUUAAUCUUUUAUCUGUCAGAUUAUAAAGAAGUAAAUGCUAGUUUUGUUGUUUGCACAUACAACAACAAAAACUAAGGCAUUUAGUAGAGGUUUUUUUGUUUUUGUUGUUGUUUUUUUAAGACAGAAAAAGCACUGAAUGUGUGACUAUAGUAUGUCCAACCACAAGAUCUUAGAACUUAUCCUCCAGGAAGAGAUGGCUAGAGAAUCAGAGGAGGGCUUUAAUUAUUUUAUGCUGCAUUUCCUAGCCAAUCUUUAAAUAAUUAGGAUGAUUAUAAAUACUCUAUUACCUUCAUCUUUUCAUUAUGUGUUCCUGACAUUUCUUUCUUGCUUUAAGAUUCACAAAAAAUGAUACCAUUCAAGGUAUAAAAGUGAGCCAAGAAGCCAGGUCCCCUGACAUUUCUUAGGAUAGGAAGAUGGGGUAGAAUCUCAGAGGAUUGUGUCUUGUAUGCCCAGAAAUGGAAAUGGAAAAUCUACAUAAAACAUCUCUCUCAAAAGCAUUCUUAGUUUGGCCUGAUCAAUCUGAUAUUCUGCUCUCAGAUAGUAUAGCCAGCCACACACACCCCACUAACAGAAUGGCAUGCAAAUUUUUUAUUUUGGGGGGUUCUUAUUUGUAAUUUUUAA